Molecule: long non-coding RNA, 1322 nt
Organism: Ostrea edulis (European flat oyster)
Lineage: Eukaryota; Metazoa; Mollusca; Bivalvia; Ostreida; Ostreidae
Exons: 2
Source: RefSeq, a predicted model, not a curated record
AUUAUGGUGAUUUAUACAACACUUCAAUAAACAGGAUUACAAUUCUGAUUAGUCCCGAUCCACAAUGCUGCUCAUGUUCACUAAGUUCAAUUCACUCACCAGCAUUUCGGUGCCUACGGGGCUACUUUCACUUUCACAGGAAGUGAAUGUAGGUCGAGGUCAAAUUAACGUCGUAGGCCCUGUUGUUUGGAAUUGGAAACUCUGAACAUAGAUUGAUCAUACAUGAUGAGUAUUUACUCAAUGAUUGAUCAGGAGAGAUACUUCGAAUUACAUUUCAUGCCCAGAUAUGUUGGGCCCAAUGCGUCUUUGCCCCAACCAUCACAAACUGACAAACGGAUGGUGACCGUGAUACUGAUAGUAACAGCUGAGUAAGGCUACAUGUACCCGAUCAUUACUGAAAGGCAACCGGGAUGCAGUCUUUAAAUCUGGAGUUCUGGACAGAACUGUGCAUUUCUGGAACAAUGAUGAGUCUAAGUGAAAUGGUAAUUUGUCAUGAAUUUCUACAGUGGCUACAUGUACCCUGACCAUCUUUGAAAGGCAACCGGGAUACAGUGCAGUCUUUAUCUGGAAUUCUUGGCAGAACUGGACAUUCCUGGAACAAUGAUCAAUUCAAGUGAAACAGACUCGGGUGCAAGCAGAAAUUCUUGUAAAUUACAGAAUGUAUUCCUUAAGAGAGGCAACAUGUGACCUGAAAACAAUUCUAUUCAGAUCUAUUUAAGGAAUGAAUUCAAUAUCUAAUUCAUCCAAGUAUAUACUGGGUUUGGGCAGUUUGCGCUUUUUUAAACUGCUAAGUGUUUUAUGAAAAAGCACAUUUUUGAACUUGUAAAAGAAAUCAGACCAACUGCUGAUAUACGUGGUUUUCAGUGAGUUAAUCAACGAUUAUCUAUGAAAAGUUAGCUACACUGAACAGUUUCUUUUUUACAUGAGUAUAUAUACCUGAAACCCAUUGCACAUCAUAAGAAUUUUAUUUUAUUUUGGACCGUGCUCUUGUUGUAAAGUAUUAUGUGUAAUGCAUGCGAGUUGUGGACGGGGGUUUGUAGUCAUCUGAGAACAAGGAUGGGUGGACUUAGAGAAAUCUUGAUAUGCUAAACCCAGUUUUAGAAGAAACGAAGAAAGCAAACACUAGAUCAGUUCCAACUAACAGAGCUGUCAAUCAGGAUAAGCAAUAAAACAUGUUGACCAAAUUGGCACUCAGCUGUAAUAAAACAUUGUAUGUAGGGAACAUGUACUAGAAGGAAAGAGCGUUUAUGUAUACAUUUAGUUUUUAUGUAAUAUUCAUUAAUUAUUAUUAUAUGAUUGAUAUUAAAUAUGUAAAUACUUAU